RNAcentral lists this antisense RNA (75 nucleotides) under Couchioplanes caeruleus subsp. caeruleus. Its description in RNAcentral is "ASpks TB sRNA". It matches the Rfam family "ASpks TB sRNA". Lineage: Bacteria; Bacillati; Actinomycetota; Actinomycetes; Micromonosporales; Micromonosporaceae. RNAcentral also lists the same sequence under 1 other name. The record is from Rfam by way of RNAcentral.
CUUGACCGAACCGAGCCACAGCGGACGGUCCGCGGGGCGGCCCUCGCCGUACGUGGCCAGGAUCGCCUGCGCCUC